AGUGAACGCUGGCGGUAGGCCUAACACAUGCAAGUCGAACGGCAGCACAGAGGAGCUUGCUCCUUGGGUGGCGAGUGGCGGACGGGUGAGGAAUACAUCGGAAUCUACUCUGUCGUGGGGGAUAACGUAGGGAAACUUACGCUAAUACCGCAUACGACCUACGGGUGAAAGCAGGGGAUCUUCGGACCUUGCGCGAUUGAAUGAGCCGAUGUCGGAUUAGCUAGUUGGCGGGGUAAAGGCCCACCAAGGCGACGAUCCGUAGCUGGUCUGAGAGGAUGAUCAGCAACACUGGAACUGGGACACGGUCCAGACUCCUACGGGAGGCAGCAGUGGGAAAUAUUGGACAAUGGGCGCAAGCCUGAUCCAGCCAUACCGGGUGGGUGAAGAAGGCCUUCGGGUUGUAAAGCCCUUUUGUUGGGAAAGAAAUCCAUCUGGUUAAUACCCGGGUGGGAUGACGGUACCCAAAGAAUAAGCACCGGCUAACUUCGUGCCAGCAGCCGCGGUAA
Molecule: ribosomal RNA, 506 nt
Filed under: uncultured bacterium
Lineage: Bacteria
Description: partial 16S ribosomal RNA
Rfam family: Bacterial small subunit ribosomal RNA
Source: RNAcentral